UAAAAGGUAACGGAGGCGCUCAAAGGUUCCCUCAGAAUGGUUGGAAAUCAUUCAUAGAGUGUAAAGGCAUAAGGGAGCUUGACUGCGAGACCUACAAGUCGAGCAGGGUCGAAAGACGGACUUAGUGAUCCGGUGGUUCCGUAUGGAAGGGCCAUCGCUCAACGGAUAAAAGCUACCCCGGGGAUAACAGGCUUAUCUCCCCCAAGAGUUCACAUCGACGGGGAGGUUUGGCACCUCGAUGUCGGCUCAUCGCAUCCUGGGGCUGUAGUCGGUCCCAAGGGUUGGGCUGUUCGCCCAUUAAAGCGGUACGCGAGCUGGGUUCAGAACGUCGUGAGACAGUUCGGUCCCUAUCCGUCGUGGGCGUAGGAAUUGAGAGGAGCUGUCCUUAG
RNAcentral lists this ribosomal RNA (389 nucleotides) under Staphylococcus aureus. RNAcentral's name for it is "partial 23S ribosomal RNA". It matches the Rfam family "Bacterial large subunit ribosomal RNA", at positions 2291 to 2681 of the family's 2925-position model. The record is from RNAcentral. Lineage: Bacteria; Bacillati; Bacillota; Bacilli; Caryophanales; Staphylococcaceae.